CCCUUAGACGUUCUGGGCCGCACGCGCGCUACACUGACACAGGCAACGAGCUUUCCUUUACCGAAAGGUAUGGGUAAUCUUUUGAAACUGUGUCGUGCUGGGGAUAGAUCCUUGCAAUUUUUGAUCUUAAACGAGGAAUUCCUAGUAAGCGCGAGUCAUCAACUCGCGUUGAUUACGUCCCUGCCCUUUGUACACACCGCCCGUCGCUACUACCGAUUGAAUGGUUUAGUGAGGCCUCAGGAUCCGCGCUUAAUGUGUGGAGAAUUUGGACAAACUACGUCAUUUAGAGGAAGUAAAAGUCGUAACA
This 307-nucleotide ribosomal RNA is filed under the name uncultured eukaryote. Its description in RNAcentral is "partial 18S ribosomal RNA". It matches the Rfam family "Eukaryotic small subunit ribosomal RNA", at positions 1470 to 1796 of the family's 1831-position model. The record is from RNAcentral.